AACGAACGCUGGCGGCAUGCCUAACACAUGCAAGUCGAACGAGACCUUCGGGUCUAGUGGCGCACGGGUGCGUAACGCGUGGGAACCUGCCCUUAGGUUCGGAAUAACUCCCCGAAAGGGGUGCUAAUACCGGAUAAUGUCUUCGGACCAAAGAUUUAUCGCCCUUGGAUGGGCCCGCGUUGGAUUAGCUAGUUGGUAGGGUAAAAGCCUACCAAGGCGACGAUCCAUAGCUGGUCUGAGAGGAUGAUCAGCCACACUGGGAGUGAGACACGGCCCAGACUCCUACGGGAGGCAGCAGUGGGGAAUAUUGGACAAUGGGCGAAAGCAUGAUCGAGCAAUGCCGCGUGAGUGAUGAAGGCCUUAGGGUUGUAAAGCUCUUUUACCCGGGAUGAUAAUGACAGUACCGGGAGAAUAAGCUCCGGCUAACUCCGUG
This 433-nucleotide ribosomal RNA is filed under the name uncultured bacterium. RNAcentral's name for it is "partial 16S ribosomal RNA". It matches the Rfam family "Bacterial small subunit ribosomal RNA", at positions 29 to 507 of the family's 1533-position model. The record is from RNAcentral.